GGAUAACACUUGGAAACAGGUGCUAAUACCGUAUAACACUAUUUUCCGCAUGGAAGAAAGUUGAAAGGCGCUUUUGCGUCACUGAUGGAUGGACCCGCGGUGCAUUAGCUAGUUGGUGAGGUAACGGCUCACCAAGGCCACGAUGCAUAGCCGACCUGAGAGGGUGAUCGGCCACACUGGGACUGAGACACGGCCCAGACUCCUACGGGAGGCAGCAGUAGGGAAUCUUCGGCAAUGGACGAAAGUCUGACCGAGCAACGCCGCGUGAGUGAAGAAGGUUUUCGGAUCGUAAAACUCUGUUGUUAGAGAAGAACAAGGAUGAGAGUAGAACGUUCAUCCCUUGACGGUAUCUAACCAGAAAGCCACGGCUAACUACGUGCCAGCAGCCGCGGUAAUACGUAGGUGGCAAGCGUUGUCCGGAUUUAUUGGGCGUAAAGCGAGCGCAGGCGGUUUCUUAAGUCUGAUGUGAAAGCCCCCGGCUCAACCGGGGAGGGUCAUUGGAAACUGGGAGACUUGAGUGCAGAAGAGGAGAGUGGAAUUCCAUGUGUAGCGGUGAAAUGCGUAGAUAUAUGGAGGAACACCAGUGGCGAAGGCGGCUCUCUGGUCUGUAACUGACGCUGAGGCUCGAAAGCGUGGGGAGCGAACAGGAUUAGAUACCCUGGUAGUCCACGCCGUAAACGAUGAGUGCUAAGUGUUGGAGGGUUUCCGCCCUUCAGUGCUGCA
Molecule: ribosomal RNA, 723 nt
Filed under: uncultured bacterium
Lineage: Bacteria
Description: bacterial SSU rRNA
Rfam family: Bacterial small subunit ribosomal RNA
Source: RNAcentral